This 319-nucleotide ribosomal RNA is filed under the name uncultured bacterium. RNAcentral describes it as "bacterial SSU rRNA". It matches the Rfam family "Bacterial small subunit ribosomal RNA", at positions 28 to 334 of the family's 1533-position model. The record is from RNAcentral.
GACGAACGCUGGCGGCGUGCCUAAUACAUGCAAGUAGAACGCUGAGGACUGGUGCUUGCACUGGUCUAAGGAGUUGCGAACGGGUGAGUAACGCGUAGGUAACCUACCUCAUAGCGGGGGAUAACUAUUGGAAACGAGAGCUAAUACCGGAUAACACCGAAAACCGCAUGGUUUUCGGUUGAAAGGCGGCUUUUAGCUGUCACUGCAGGAUGGGCCCGCGGCGCAUUAGCUAGUUGGUGAGGUAACGGCUCACCAAGGCGACGAUGCGUAGCCGACCUGAGAGGGUGACCGGCCACACUGGGACUGAGACACGGCCCAG